GAGGAAAGCUGGAGGCGUGCCUAAUACAUGCGAGUCGAGCGAACAGACGAGGAGCUUGCUCCUCUGACGUUAGCGGCGGACGGGUGAGUAACACGUGGAUAACCUACCUAUAAGACUGGGAUAACUUCGGGAAACCGGAGCUAAUACCGGAUAAUAUAUUGAACCGCAUGGUUCAAUAGUGAAAGACGGUUUUGCUGUCACUUAUAGAUGGAUCCGCGCCGCAUUAGCUAGUUGGUAAGGUAACGGCUUACCAAGGCAACGAUGCGUAGCCGACCUGAGAGGGUGAUCGGCCACACUGGAACUGAGACACGGUCCAGACUCCUACGGGAGGCAGCAGUAGGGAAUCUUCCGCAAUGGGCGAAAGCCUGACGGAGCAACGCCGCGUGAGUGAUGAAGGUCUUCGGAUCGUAAAACUCUGUUAUUAGGGAAGAACAAAUGUGUAAGUAACUAUGCACGUCUUGACGGUACCUAAUCAGAAAGCCACGGCUAACUACGUG
Molecule: ribosomal RNA, 497 nt
Filed under: uncultured bacterium
Lineage: Bacteria
Description: partial 16S ribosomal RNA
Rfam family: Bacterial small subunit ribosomal RNA
Source: RNAcentral